Long non-coding RNA from Carassius gibelio (silver crucian carp), 1424 nucleotides. RefSeq lists it as uncharacterized. The record is from RefSeq and is a predicted model, not a curated record. The transcript is spliced from 3 exons. Lineage: Eukaryota; Metazoa; Chordata; Actinopteri; Cypriniformes; Cyprinidae.
AACAGAUUGACAUGCCCAUAUUCAGUUAUAGUCAUAGCGCCACCUAUUGGCAACAGGAAGUGACAUAUUUUACGCUGCGACGAACUACUCCUAGAAAUUUUAUGACAUCAAUGUCUUUUUUGUGGUCAGUCUAAUCUAAAGGCCUGUGCGAUGUUCAGUUGUGAAGAUCUUGAGUUUUCGUUAAAAGGCUUGUUCAUGGCGCCGCGACGAAGUUCGAUGUCUCGCCAUGGGAAUAAAAGAUGUUAUAACUCAGAUAUAAAAUGUCCGAUCUUCCCCAAACUUCACAUGUGUGAUAAGAGUCCUGGCCUGAACAGAUCUGCAGGCCAAUAUUCCACCGGGUGUGGCAGAACAGCUCUAUAGCGCCACCUGUACACUUUCAACGGAGUGCGCCUCGAGCUAUGUUUCACGUACAUGUACAAAAAUUGGUAUACACAUGUAACACUCCAAUACCUACAAAAAAGUCUCUUGGUACGAAAUCCGGAUCCCAACAGGAAGUCGGUUAUUUAGAAUUUUCCCUUCAAAAUUGCUGUUGUUUUUGCCAUUUUCAGGGGUUGUACUUUAACGAACUCCUCCUAGAGAUUUAUUCAGAUCAACACCAAACUUGGUCAGUGUAAUCUAAAGCCCUUUGCGAUAAUAAAUUGCGAAGGACUUGAGGUUUCGUUAAAGGGCGGGUCCAUGGCGGCCUGACAAAUUUCGAUGUUUCGCCAUGAAAAAGGAAGUUGCUGUAACUCAGACAUACAAUGUCCAAUCUGCCCCAAACUUCACAUGUUGGAUAAGACUCUUGACCUGAACAGAUCUACAUGCCAAUAUUCAGUUAUAGUCAUAGCGCCACCUAUUGGCAACAGGAAGUUACAUAUUUUACACUGCGACAAACUACUCCUAGAAAUUUUAUGACAUCAAUGUCUUUUUUGUGGUCAGUCUAAUCUAAAGACCUGUGUGAUGUUUAGUUGUGAAGAUCUUGAGUUUUUGUUAAAAGGUGUGUCCAUGGCGCCGUGAUGAAGUUCGAUGUCUCGCCAUGGGAAUAAAAGAUGUUAUAACUCAGGCAUAAAAUGUCCGAUCUUGCCCAAACUUCACUUGUGUGAUAAGGGUCCUGGCCUGAACAGAUCUGAAGGCCAAUAUUCCAUCGAGUGUGGCAAAAUGGCUCGAUAGCGCCACCUAUACACUUGCAACGGAGUGCGUAUACACUUUAAACGGAGUGCGCCUCGAGCUAUGUUUCACGUACAUGUACAAAAAUCGGUACACACAUGUAACACACCAAUAUCUACGAAAAAGUCUCUUGGUACGAAAUCCGAAUCCCAACAGGAAGUCAGUUAUUUCGAAUUUUCUCUGCAAAAUUAGUGUUGUUUUGGCCAUUUUCAGGGGUUGUACUUUAACCAACUCCUCCUAGAUAUUUAUUCAGAUCAACACCAAACUUGGUCAGUGUA